This 1075-nucleotide long non-coding RNA is filed under the name Gouania willdenowi (blunt-snouted clingfish). RNAcentral describes it as "lncRNA (ENSGWIG00000016757.1)". The record is from RNAcentral. Lineage: Eukaryota; Metazoa; Chordata; Actinopteri; Blenniiformes; Gobiesocidae.
UUUGCAUUUAGAAAAAGAAAAUGUUUGGUAUAAACGUUGUAGUGGAAAAACGUGUAGUGUAAAGUAUGACCUGUUAAAUUGCCCUUUUCAUGAUAUAUCCUCCUUUCUGAGGGGUUUUUGUUUGAGGCAGUUUCAGCACAGGCAUUCUUCCAACAUGUUCCAACAAAUCCUCGACCACAUUCCACUAAAACAAGCUGAAACACAGAAUCUUCCUCUACCUGUUCGUCUUAUUAUUAGUCUUUAGGUCAUGUGAUUCGACACUCUUGUUUAGAAUGCAGGUUAUUUCUAAGUGUUUUGAACCAUCAAAGUUGAAGCGCUGAUUACCUUUAACCCAGAGCAGUGUGUCAUAAUGACAAGUUGUUUACAUCACCGGCUGCAACCACGGAGAACAUAGCCUCUUCAAACAGGCCUGGAGUAAAGAAAACCUGCUUUGAAUCUUCCCUCUGAGCUUUACCUUUGAACUGUGGCGUCGUCCCGACGAACACAAGAUUUUGUGAGAUUGACAAAAAAAAGUGUUGCGUGAAAUGUGGGAGAAUAAUACCACCAUGGUCUUUUAUUAUUUCACCAUGGAGAUUCCCGUGUUGUGUCUGGGCAUCAUUCUGUGGAUAUUUUGUUGCCAUUUAGCCAAAAAACGCAGAGAGGCAGAGGACUGGUCUGCACGAGCUGAAAACUCUCCAUCUGUGUAUAUUAUCCCUAUAUACGGCGAGGAAGAGGAGGAGGAGACGGAGGAGGAGGUUAUGGACAUUUAUGAAGCCUAUUUCCAAUCAAUGAAUCAGGAAUCUUCCAUUUACUGCUCAAGAGACACAACACCACCUCCUCCGUACACGUUUGAACCUCCCUAUUACUCGGACCCUCCCCCGUCAUACUCAGACCCACCGACUUAUCCAGCAGACGACUGAUCCCCAAAUCUUCCUCAUACAUGUAUCUGCCUGCUUCAUAUUGAAGAGACGAUUAUUGGGAUCAAAAGUGGCUCUUUGGGAUUUGUGCUUGAGUAAUAACACUCUGAGAUGACUUCAGGAUAUGUCGGCGUGUCUGCACCAAUAAAACAUUUAGACAGUGAGGAAAUAAGAGGAAA